Molecule: long non-coding RNA, 523 nt
Filed under: Bactrocera latifrons
Lineage: Eukaryota; Metazoa; Arthropoda; Insecta; Diptera; Tephritidae
Description: uncharacterized LOC108970262, transcript variant X2
Source: RNAcentral
UCCCUUUGGUGUGUUGUAAUCCUCGAAACAGUUAAUAUAAAUUUUCGGAAAAGCAUUCAAUGUGCGUAGCGAUCCACAUUUGGUGUAUACAGUUGACUCUAAACAAGAGCGGAUUUUAAGUAUCUGUUAAAAGAUAGGGAUUAUAAAAGUAUUUUUCCAUGGUCUCGAACUAUAACAACGUAAUAACAUAGUGGUGCUUAUCUACAACUACUAUAACACAGCGAUGGAUUUUCGAAAUUAUAGAAGGAAUGAAAAAAUUGGUCGAUGAUGAAACAUUCGGCUUAUUGUAAUAUGCUUUUGUGUGAGAUAGGUAUUGGCGACAUCUAAAAUUUUGCAAUUAUAUUAUAUAUAAAAAUGAGUCACAAAAUGUGUUCGUAAGCGCAAAAUUCAACAACGCCUGGACCAAUUUGGCCAACUCUUUUUUCUAAAUGUUCGCUGAGACUCAAAGAUGGUUUUUACAGCGAAAAAAAAUUAUAAUUGCCGGAAAACCAUUAAAAAAGCCCUGUUUUCCCAUGUAUACGAA